This 252-nucleotide ribosomal RNA is filed under the name uncultured bacterium. RNAcentral describes it as "partial 16S ribosomal RNA". It matches the Rfam family "Bacterial small subunit ribosomal RNA", at positions 524 to 775 of the family's 1533-position model. The record is from RNAcentral.
UACAGAGGGUGCAAGCGUUGUUCGGAAUUAUUGGGCGUAAAGCGCGUGUAGGCGGCUUUGCAAGUCGGGUGUGAAAGCCCUCAGCUUAACUGAGGAAGUGCGCCCGAAACUGCAUUGCUUGAGUACCAGAGAGGGUGGCGGAAUUCCCGAAGUAGAGGUGAAAUUCGUAGAUAUCGGGGGGAACACCGGUGGCGAAGGCGGCCACCUGGAUGGAUACUGACGCUGAGACGCGAAAGCGUGGGUAGCAAACAG